GUAGGGAAUAUUGCGCAAUGGGGGAAACCCUGACGCAGCGACGCCGCGUGAGUGAUGAAGGCCUUCGGGUCGUAAAGCUCUGUUGCAGGGGAAUAAAAAAAUGAAGGUACCCUGUGAGGAAGGAGCGGCUAACUUCGUGCCAGCAGCCGCGGUAAGACGAGGGAUCCUAGCGUUGCUCGGAAUCAUUGGGCGUAAAGAGGGCGUAGGUGGCUUGGUAAGUCAGGUGUGAAAGCCCAGGGCUCAACCCUGGAAGUGCAUUUGAUACUGCUGAGCUAGAGUGUCGGAGAGGUUACCGGAAUACCUGGUGUAGUGGUGAAAUACGUAGAUAUCAGGUGGAACACCGGAGGCGAAGGCGGGUAACUGGACGAACACUGACACUGAGGCCCGAAAGCGUGGGGAUCAAACAGGAUUAGAAACCCGAGUAGUCC
Molecule: ribosomal RNA, 428 nt
Filed under: uncultured bacterium
Lineage: Bacteria
Description: partial 16S ribosomal RNA
Rfam family: Bacterial small subunit ribosomal RNA
Source: RNAcentral